UAUUUCCAAGGUGAAGGCUGACAGCUGUCAAUCAUUCUGCUCUGAUCACACACACGAAAGAUACACCUUAAACUUAACCGUAGAAUACCGCCUAACGCGGAACUGGACGCUUGUUGACCUAAAAGAAAAUCCAGUGCAGCUACAAGUAUCUGCCGUAAAAAUGAAACGGAGAAAGUGAUGUCAUGGAUAAAUAAACAACUUAUGGAAUUGGAAAUGCGAAAGAUUUCGUUAGACUUUUCAAAUUUUAAUGUGUUUUGGGUACAUUGAACUGAUUCUUAGUGACCAUUUACUAUAUUUGUAUGAAUUAAAUACGAAUGUAUUUUAUUUACAAUAUUUUAAGUUGGUAGAAUAAAAUA
Molecule: long non-coding RNA, 356 nt
Organism: Patella vulgata (common limpet)
Lineage: Eukaryota; Metazoa; Mollusca; Gastropoda; Patellidae
Exons: 3
Source: RefSeq, a predicted model, not a curated record